AGCCAUCUCACCAGCCCUCAAUAACAUGUCUUUAUUAAAAAUAUUUGACAUUUAUCUUCAAAGUUCUUUGGUGAACACUGGGGCUCACACCCAGGACUGCCUGCCUGCUAGACGGUAAGCCAUACUGUCCUGUUAGUAUCUCACCAUAUAGCUGUGAGUUUCUACCUACCAUCCUUUUAAUUUUAACCCAGCGGACUCCCUUUAGCAAUUAUAGGGCCUGUUUAGGUGGUAAUGGACUUUGUCAGCUUCUGUUUGUUUGAUAAUAUAAUGCUUUGGCACUUCAUUUUUGAGGAAACAAUAUUCAGGAUUGUUAGUUGGCAGUUUUUAAUCUUUCACGACUUUAAAUGCCAUUUCGCAUCCUUCUGUUCGCUAAGGAUUUUGGUGUGAGAUCUGGUGGUGUUCACUGAACCAUGUGUUGAGCCACUCUCUUGAUGCUCUCAAUGGACUUUGACUUGAACGUCUGACUUGCAAAAAGUGUCUUGAUGCCAGUUUGUCAUACUUAGUAUGCAUCUGGCUUCCUUGUUGUCAGAUAAAUGCAUUUCAUCAAACAUGUUGUGCUUUGGCCAUGAUUUAUUUACACCCCCCCAUGUCUGUAAGUCUCCUUGGUCUCUGUUCACUUUACUUCAUUCUUUUUUCUUUCUGUUUUUUGAAGCGCGUGACUGCAGAUGACCUGUCCCUACUUCGCUCAGACAAGCUGCCAGUUCCUUCUCAUGAAAACUUUAUUCCAAACCUUAUGCUUUGUAGCUCUAAAGUUUCUGUUUGGUUUUGUUUUAUACUUUCUCGUCUCUUGGUUAAUAUUAAAACUCCAGUAAUGCAUCAUAUGCCCUCAUCUGCUCAGGCUACAUUAACAGAAUAGUAUAAAAGUUAGACAUUCAAUUUCCCAGCCAAAAUAUUGGCUGUCGUGAUAUUGGGUGUGAGGUCAAUGCCUGUGUGCUGGUCCAUGGCUAUCAUUUUUAUUUGUCUGCACAUGUCAGAAAGGGUGAGAGGCCUCUCAUGGGUCUCUUCUCUAAGGCCACUAAUUUCAUGACAUGGCACGCUCAUGGUCUAAUUACCUCCCAAAGGCCCAGUUCCCGUAUCAUAACCUGAGGUGUUAGGAAUUCAGCCAUGACGUUUGGAUAGACAUACACUUCCAAACCACUGCAUUCUUUUUCUGAUUUCCUUUGUUUCUUGGUCCACAUUUUCUUUUAACCCUUGGAUCAUAUUUCCAUUUUUGUAUAGUAAAUCUGGUGUCUCGGUUUGCUCGCAGACAUUGUUCUCUUUUUAGAUGCUUUUCUCUCCUUUGUAUGUCUUGGCCCUUUGGUUGAUACUGUUGGGAAUUAGAGUAUGGCAACUCUGGAAGCCAAAUUCUUCUCCUGUCUUAGUGCUCAUACUUUUGUUUUUCACAGUUUGAAGGCUGUCAUAGUUUGUUCGUUCGAGAGUUUUCUUAGUUACAUUUGUAGAAGGCAUCCUUUGCUGUGUGUAAUCUCUGAAUUCUUGACUUCCUUUGGCCAUAUUUUGACAAAGAACUUCCUAAAUGUCAGGCACUUUCUCAGUAUUUAAAGAGUCCUUCCGUGCUGAGGUGUUUCUUCAACCUGGAUUCGCCAUUGCUUGUGCCUUUAAACCAGCCUGAAGGAAUGGUAGUGUCUUCUUGAGUCUCUUCUGACCUAGUACCUGUGCGUAGCUUCCUAAACCCUCUCGGACACAGCUGUUUCCAAUAUUAAAAUCCAACUCUCCUAGACAGGAAUGCAACCUGUCUUAUCCCCAUCUCUACCUGUAAUAUUUUUUUUUUCAAAAAGAAAAUCAUGUAUUUAUACAUCAGAGAAGCCACUACAUGCAGAGGUCAAAUAACAGUUUGCAGAAGUCAGCUUUUGCCUUUUCCUGUGUGGGUCCUGGAGGCAGGACUCAGGUUGUCAGGCUCAGACACUAGGGCCUUUUCUCACUCAGCCAUCUUACCAUCCUUUCUCCUGGAGCCGUUUGUUCCGGGAGUCUGUGGAUCUGGAAUCCCUUUACACAGGAGUUCUUAACCCCAACCAUACUGUUUUCUUUGCUACUUCAUAACUAUAAUCUUGCUAAUGCUAUGAAUCAUAAUAUAAGUAUCUAUGUUUCCCAGGGGUCCCAGGUACCCAUAUGAAAGGGUCAUUUGGCCCCCAAAGGGGUUCUGACCCACACAGGUCAAGAGCCUACCUUAUAGGCUUAAGAGUAGUUUUCCUUCUUGAAUUUUGAGUUAGACAAGACAGAGACAAGCUCCUUGUAUCAACCUUCAAGUGUCUACCAUACAGUUUAGAAUAGUUAUAAAUAGUCACGCACACACACACAAAAGGUCUGCUCUCUUCCCUUCGACUCGAGGGAGAUGCCUAUACCCAGGUUCACUUCAUUGCCAAAGCUACUGCCACACUGGGAAUGGGGGGAUGGGUGGAUGGUACCUAGUAAUAAGGUACAAAACACUCUUGUCACCAUUUCAUUAGUGACCAUAAACUAGCUUCCAGAGCUCUACCAGAUCCAUUUAAAUCGUUCCACAUCCCUGUAUGUUUCUAUAGGAGAGUGAGACAUGGAACGUUCUAGUCUGCCUUGGCUGACAUCUUCCUUGUCAACAUAAUUUUGCUUCCAUUUGUACUGUCACCAAGGGCACCACAGGAACAUGGUAAGCAACACAAAUGUACAGUCAUAAAACAACAUGACAGCAAAGUAGGUCUUAGCUCUUUGGAGCAACUCAGAAGGAGCUUGGUUGGUGAAUUACAAAGAAGACUCUCCAAGGACACUGGUGACAGUCGAGAGCAGAUAAGGUUGUGAGGUGUAAGUUCUGUCUAGGUAGUAAAUUACAGAGGAGCCAGGGCUUGCCGACAGUGUGGGCAGCUGCAGUCACAUGCUGAGAGCGGUUGGGUCUGAUUUCUGGAUGCGAACGUAAUCCCAGCUCAUGAAUGGUCUUAACCGGAGCCAGAAGUGACCAAGCAGAAGAGCAUUCGAGAAGAAUGAGAUGACUUGUUCUGGAAGCACAUUAGAGACUCCCCUCAGGAUUCAAAGCCCUGUCUUAUUCGCUCUGUUCCUCAGGACGCUUUUCAUAUCAGCACGUCCUAGCAUGCCUGGGGUUUGCAACUUUAACUCAGAAGUGACUUUUGGAGAGGACUAGAGUUUGGUUCCCGGGACCCACAAGAUGGCCCAUAACCUCCUGUAUCUCCAGUUUCAGGGCAUCUGAGACCUCUUCUGGAUUCCUUGGGCACUGUACAUACAGGUUCUCAAGUUCUGCCUAGGUCCUCAUACAACCUGCCAUGUUGCCUUCGGCAGACUGCCUUCCAUUGGGUUGGGACUACAUCACACUCGGGAAGGACUACUGUAAGAUGUGCCUGGUGAGCUGGUAAUGAAGUUGGUGCUGCCCGAUGGCUUCCCAAGGAUGGGAUUUUGACAAGUUUGACAAUGAACUCCAUGCCAAGGCAGGCAGGUGGAUCCCAGAGCCUUUCAUGUUGCAGUCCCAUCUCUCAAGACUGAAGUGGCUUGUUCCAAAUCCCACCCACUGCUUUACCAAGCCCAUCUCUCCACACUCUCAAGAUAGAUUUCUCUCUGUGGUCAGUUAGGCCGCUGUGUGGUUUCCCCUACUGGAUUCCCUUUUGUGGUUGGAGGGCAAACAUUUUCUUGCCUGCUGCUUCCAGGAAUGUGUGUGCUGCACAGGAGGGUUUUAUUUUACUCCCCUUGAAUGGGAUGGCAGUCAUCCAGCAGGCCUGGGAGCAUGUAUAAAUAGAGGGACACGUAAGCCUGCAUUUAAUAUCCAGAACAUAAACCAGCCACCUUGUGUAGCUACACCGUCAUGUUUUGAUUAAAGGCUGAUGACAGCUCCACAGACCAUACUGUGAGGCCCGGCAAACCAACUAAUCCCACUGCUGUGGUCCAGGCACAGACGGGCACGCUCACUGCCAGGAACAGCUUUUCUCCAGCCACCAGCAACUCUGAGCUACCUUUGCCUUUUUGCUGGGAUUAAAGGCGUGUGCCACCACCGCCCGGCUCUCCUUCUGCUUCUUGUUACCUCUGACCAUGGUUGAAGAGGCCAGGUGAAUGUGGAAGACUGAACUGUACAUUGAAUCCCAAGUCAUUGUCUUCUUUUAUUCUUGACCUUCUAGCUCCAGUUAGUCACUCCUCAGUGUCUCUUGGACUAUGGAGCUAUUUCAAAGGGACCCAUUGAAAAGUUCACAUUUUUAUUUGAUUUUUUUUUCUUCUUUUCUAGUUUCCACACAAGAAUAUCACUUUAUGGCAUAUACAGUAUAAAGCAGGAAUCUUUA
This is a long non-coding RNA of Mus musculus (house mouse), 4247 nucleotides long. RefSeq annotates it as predicted gene, 29724. The record is from RefSeq and is a predicted model, not a curated record. NCBI's taxonomy places the organism in Eukaryota, Metazoa, Chordata, Mammalia, Rodentia, Muridae. The transcript has 3 exons.